CUGCAUUUCACUAAAGGAAACCGAAGCCCAGAUCUGGAAAGGGAUUUACCAAGUUUCUCCAGCAAGGGCCACAUCUGGCCCCAGUUUCUGGCUUCCACAAGAGAAGAAAUGCAAACCCGUCAACCAGCCCCCAUUCCUGUUGACCUCCAAGGGGUCAGGUGCAAAGGCCUGCCAGAUGAUUAUGGGAAGCUGGAACCCAGUAGGUGUGGGCCGCUACCUCAACACCUGGCUGAUGGAGACAAAGGACAGGCGGCAGCGAUAUCGAUCCCUAUUCCUGAGUGGAUCCAAACGCUACCUCUCAGACCUGGCCCGGGACAU
Molecule: long non-coding RNA, 318 nt
Filed under: Homo sapiens (human)
Lineage: Eukaryota; Metazoa; Chordata; Mammalia; Primates; Hominidae
Description: HSALNT0007074
Source: RNAcentral